RNAcentral lists this transfer RNA (64 nucleotides) under Anagonalia emeiensis. RNAcentral's name for it is "tRNA-Asp". The record is from RNAcentral. Lineage: Eukaryota; Metazoa; Arthropoda; Insecta; Hemiptera; Cicadellidae.
AAGAAUUUAGUUUAAAUUAUAAACAUAAAUUUGUCAAAUUUAAAAUACUAUAGGGUAAUUCUUU